GUGCUUGCUUUAGUAGCACAUACACUAAAAAUUGGAAUGAUGCAGAGAAGAUUAGCAUGGUGCCUGCACAAGGAUGUUGGUGAAGUCUAACAUGUAAGCCACUUUAGC
This is a non-coding RNA of Canis lupus familiaris (dog), 108 nucleotides long. NCBI's taxonomy places the organism in Eukaryota, Metazoa, Chordata, Mammalia, Carnivora, Canidae. The record is from Rfam.